UACGGAGGGUGCGAGCGUUGUUCGGAAUCACUGGGCGUAAAGCGCGUGUAGGCGGCUUCUUAAGUCUGGUGUGAAAGCCCGGGGCUUACCCCCGGAAGGGCACUGGAGACUGGGAAGCUAGAGUACCGGAGAGGAGGGUGGAAUUCCUGGUGUAGCGGUGAAAUGCGUAGAUAUCAGGAGGAACACCGGUGGCGAAGGCGGCCCUCUGGACGGAUACUGACGCUGAGACGCGAAAGCGUGGGGAGCAAACAGG
This 253-nucleotide ribosomal RNA is filed under the name uncultured bacterium. RNAcentral describes it as "partial 16S ribosomal RNA". It matches the Rfam family "Bacterial small subunit ribosomal RNA", at positions 524 to 776 of the family's 1533-position model. The record is from RNAcentral.